CCCUUAGACGUUCUGGGCCGCACGCGCGCUACACUGACCAGUGCAACAAGCAUCCGUCCUUGGCCGACAGGCCCGGGCAAUCUUUGAACGCUGGUCGUGAUGGGGAUAGACUUUUGCAAUUUUGGGUCUUCAACGAGGAAUUCCUAGUAAACGCAAGUCAUCAGCUUGCAUUGAUUACGUCCCUGCCCUUUGUACACACCGCCCGUCGCACCUACCGAUUGAAUGGUCCGGUGAAAUCUCGGGACGGCGGCUUGGUCGCUUGCGUCCGACUGCUGAAACUUGAUUAAACCAUAUCAUUUAGAGGAAGGUGAAGUCGUAACA
This 321-nucleotide ribosomal RNA is filed under the name uncultured eukaryote. RNAcentral's name for it is "partial 18S ribosomal RNA". It matches the Rfam family "Eukaryotic small subunit ribosomal RNA", at positions 1470 to 1796 of the family's 1831-position model. The record is from RNAcentral.